Molecule: long non-coding RNA, 226 nt
Organism: Lates calcarifer (barramundi perch)
Lineage: Eukaryota; Metazoa; Chordata; Actinopteri; Centropomidae
Exons: 2
Source: RefSeq, a predicted model, not a curated record
GCCGAGAGCAACGUUCCAUGUUGGAUCCACAUGGCCGAAAUGAUUUGAAACUUUGCAGCAAAGAGACUUCACGUUACUUGAUUCAGUGUCAUCACUAGCACCAUGGAGGUUUACAGCUCUAAAGUCAAUGACAACUAUAGGUUUUUGUUUAUCUGUAGUUGUUGUGGUGAUGGUGAUGUUUGGUUUUGCUUGUGUUUUCCUUAAUAAAUGUGAAUCGUGGUUUAUG